CCUACGGGGGGCAGCAGUGGGGAAUAUUGCACAAUGGGGGAGACCCUGAUGCAGCGAAGCAGCGUGAGUGAAGAAGUACUUCGGUAUGUAAAGCUUUAUUAGUAGGGAAGAAAAUGACGGUACCUGAGUAUGAUGCCACGGCUAACAACGUGCCAGCAGCCGCGGUAAUACGGAGGGUGCAAGCGUUAUCCGGAUUUACUGGGUGUAAAGGGAGCGUAGAGGGCAGUGAAAGUCUGGAGUGAAAGGCGGGGGCUCAACCGCCGGACUGCUAUGGAAACUGUACGGCUUGAGUACAGGAGAGGUAGGUGGAAUUCCUAGUGUAGCGGUGAAAUGCGUAGAUAUUACGAAGAACACCAAUGGCGAAGGCAGCUUACUAGACUGUAACUGACGUUGAUGCUCGAAAGCGUGGGUAGCAAACAGGAUUAGAUACCCCAGUAGUC
This 440-nucleotide ribosomal RNA is filed under the name uncultured bacterium. RNAcentral's name for it is "partial 16S ribosomal RNA". It matches the Rfam family "Bacterial small subunit ribosomal RNA", at positions 338 to 795 of the family's 1533-position model. The record is from RNAcentral.